RNAcentral lists this ribosomal RNA (739 nucleotides) under Pseudoalteromonas sp. FUC4. RNAcentral describes it as "partial 23S ribosomal RNA". It matches the Rfam family "Bacterial large subunit ribosomal RNA", at positions 1102 to 1827 of the family's 2925-position model. Lineage: Bacteria; Pseudomonadati; Pseudomonadota; Gammaproteobacteria; Alteromonadales; Pseudoalteromonadaceae. The record is from RNAcentral.
UGGCUUAGAAGCAGCCAUCCUUUAAAGAAAGCGUAAUAGCUCACUGGUCGAGUCGGUCUGCGCGGAAGAUGUAACGGGGCUAAACUAUGCACCGAAGCUGCGGAUUCAGAAUUUAUUCUGAGUGGUAGGGGAGCGUUCUGUAAGCCGUUGAAGGUGACCCGGGAGGGUUGCUGGAGGUAUCAGAAGUGCGAAUGCUGACAUGAGUAACGAUAAUGGGAGUGAAAAACUCCCACGCCGGAAGACCAAGGGUUCCUAUCCCAUGUUAAUCAGGGUAGGGUAAGUCGACCCCUAAGGCGAGGCCGAAAGGCGUAGUCGAUGGGAAACAGAUUAAUAUUUCUGUACUCGAUAUAAUUGCGAUGGGGGGACGGAGCAGGCUAAGCAAGCAUAGCGUUGGUAGUCUAUGUGAAAGUGAGUAGGGCGUUUGUUUAGGUAAAUCCGGACGAACAUUAAACCUGAGACACGAGACGAGUCACUACGGUGAUGAAGUUGCUGAUGCCAUACUUCCAGGAAAAGCCUCUAAGCUUCAGAUUAUAUGGAAUCGUACCCCAAACCGACACAGGUGGUCAGGUAGAGAAUACUAAGGCGCUUGAGAGAACUCGGGUGAAGGAACUAGGCAAAAUCGUACCGUAACUUCGGGAGAAGGUACGCUCCUAUCUGUGAUGAGACUUGCUCUCUAAGCGGACGGGAGCCGCAGUGACCAGGUGGCUGGGACUGUUUAUUAAAAACACAGCACUGUGCA